AGCAGCCGCGGUAAUUCCAGCUCCAAUAGCGUAUAUUAAAGUUGUUGCAGUUAAAAAGCUCGUAGUUGAAUUUCGGGAUUGGCUCAUCGGUCGUGCCUCACGGGGUAUGAACUGGUGCAGUCAAUUUCUCACCUUCUGGAGAACCGCGAUGUCCUUAAUUGGAUGCCGCGGGGAACCAGGACCUUUACUUUGAAAAAUUAGAGUGUUUAAAGCAGGCAUUUUUGCUUGAAUACAUUAGCAUGGAAUAAUAAAAUAGGACGGCAUGGUUCUAUUUUGUUGGUUUCUAGGACCACCGUAAUGAUUAAUAGGGAUAGUUGGGGGCAUUAGUAUUCAAUUGUCAGAGGUGAAAUUCUUGGAUUUAUUGAAGACUAACUACUGCGAAAGCAUUUGCCAAGGAUGUUUUCAUUAAUCAAGAACGAAAGUUAGGGGAUCGAAGACGAUCAGAUACCGUCGUAGUCUUAACCAUAAACUAUGCCGACUAGGAAUCAGACGAUGUUAAUUUUUAAUGUACUCGUUUGGC
Molecule: unclassified non-coding RNA, 520 nt
Filed under: uncultured Entrophospora
Lineage: Eukaryota; Fungi; Glomeromycota; Glomeromycetes; Entrophosporales; Entrophosporaceae
Description: SSU rRNA
Rfam family: Eukaryotic small subunit ribosomal RNA
Source: RNAcentral